RNAcentral lists this ribosomal RNA (253 nucleotides) under uncultured bacterium. RNAcentral describes it as "partial 16S ribosomal RNA". It matches the Rfam family "Bacterial small subunit ribosomal RNA", at positions 524 to 776 of the family's 1533-position model. The record is from RNAcentral.
UACGAACUGUGCAAACGUUAUUCGGAAUCACUGGGCUUAAAGGGUGCGCAGGUGGCGGCGCGCGUGGGGGGUGAAAUCGCCCGGCUCAACUGGGCGGGGUCAGCGGAUACGGUGUGGCUCGAGCAAGCUAGGGGGCAAUGGAAUUCCCGGUGUAGUGGUGGAAUGCGUAGAUAUCGGGAGGAACACCAGUGGCGAAGGCGGUUGCCUGGAGCUUUGCUGACGCUGAGGCGCGAAAGCGUGGGGAGCGAUCCGG